RNAcentral lists this ribosomal RNA (446 nucleotides) under uncultured bacterium. RNAcentral describes it as "partial 16S ribosomal RNA". It matches the Rfam family "Bacterial small subunit ribosomal RNA", at positions 338 to 795 of the family's 1533-position model. The record is from RNAcentral.
CCUACGGGGUGCUGCAGUCGAGAAUCAUUCACAAUGGGGGAAACCCUGAUGGUGCGACGCCGCGUGGGGGAAUGAAGGUCUUCGGAUUGUAAACCCCUGUCAUGUGGGAGCAAAUUAAAAAGAUAGUACCACAAGAGGAAGAGACGGCUAACUCUGUGCCAGCAGCCGCGGUAAUACAGAGGUCUCAAGCGUUGUUCGGAAUCACUGGGCGUAAGGCGUGCGUAGGCUGUUUCGUAAGUCGUGUGUGAAAGGCGCGGGCUCAACCCGCGGACGGCACAUGAUACUGCGAGACUAGAGUAAUGGAGGGGGAACCGGAAUUCUCGGUGUAGCAGUGAAAUGCGUAGAUAUCGAGAGGAACACUCGUGGCGAAGGCGGGUUCCUGGACAUUAACUGACGCUGAGGCACGAAGGCCAGGGGAGCGAAAGGGAUUAGAGACCCCAGUAGUC